GACGAACGCUGGCGGCGUGCUUAACACAUGCAAGUCGAACGGAAAGGCCCUGCUUUUGUGGGGUGCUCGAGUGGCGAACGGGUGAGUAACACGUGAGUAACCUGCCCUUGACUUUGGGAUAACUUCAGGAAACUGGGGCUACUACCGGAUAGGAGCUCCUGCUGCAUGGUGGGGGUUGGAAAGUUUCGGCGGUUGGGGAUGGACUCGCGGCUUAUCAGCUUGUUGGUGGGGUAGUGGCUUACCAAGGCUUUGACGGGUAGCCGGCCUGAGAGGGUGACCGGCCACAUUGGGACUGAGAUACGGCCCAGACUCCUACGGGAGGCAGCAGUGGGGAAUAUUGCACAAUGGGCGGAAGCCUGAUGCAGCAACGCCGCGUGCGGGAUGACGGCCUUCGGGUUGUAAACCGCUGUCGCCUGUGACGAAGCGUGAGUGACGGUAAUGGGUAAAGAAGCACCGGCUAACUACGUG
Molecule: ribosomal RNA, 468 nt
Filed under: uncultured bacterium
Lineage: Bacteria
Description: partial 16S ribosomal RNA
Rfam family: Bacterial small subunit ribosomal RNA
Source: RNAcentral